GAUGAACGCUGGCGGCGUGCCUAACACAUGCAGGUCGAGCGAUCUUCUUCGGAAGAGAGCGGCGGACGGGUGAGUAACGCGUGGGUAACCUGCCCUGUACACACGGAUAACAUACCGAAAGGUAUGCUAAUACGGGAUAACAUAAGAAAGUCGCAUGGAUUUCUUAUCAAAGCUUUUGCGGUACAGGAUGGACCCGCGUCUGAUUAGCUAGUUGGUAAGGUAACGGCUUACCAAGGCGACGAUCAGUAGCCGACCUGAGAGGGUGAUCGGCCACAUUGGAACUGAGACACGGUCCAAACUCCUACGGGAGGCAGCAGUGGGGAAUAUUGCACAAUGGGCGAAAGCCUGAUGCAGCAACGCCGCGUGAGCGAUGAAGGCCUUCGGGUCGUAAAGCUCUGUCCUCAAGGAAGAUAAUGACGGUACUUGAGGAGGAAGCCCCGGCUAACUACGUGCCAGCAGCCGCGGUAAUACGUAGGGGGCUAGCGUUAUCCGGAAUUACUGGGCGUAAAGGGUGCGUAGGCGGUCUUUCAAGUCAGAAGUGAAAGGCUACGGCUCAACCGUAGUAAGCUUUUGAAACUGUAAGACUUGAGUGCAGGAGAGGAGAGUGGAAUUCCUAGUGUAGCGGUGAAAUGCGUAGAUAUUAGGAGGAACACCAGUUGCGAAGGCGGCUCUCUGGACUGUAACUGACGCUGAGGCACGAAAGCGUGGG
RNAcentral lists this ribosomal RNA (709 nucleotides) under uncultured Clostridium sp. RNAcentral's name for it is "bacterial SSU rRNA". It matches the Rfam family "Bacterial small subunit ribosomal RNA", at positions 28 to 765 of the family's 1533-position model. The record is from RNAcentral. Lineage: Bacteria; Bacillati; Bacillota; Clostridia; Eubacteriales; Clostridiaceae.